UUGUUAAGAGGCGCGGUGUCGGCGUGCUUGUAUUUGCGGGAGGGAAUUAUCUGGGGGUGCUGGGUAGCCGGGAAGACUUGGACGGAUCUGGCCCGGGAAUGGGUCUGGGCCUGGAUUCUGGUGUGGUGUAGGGUAGGCGUAGAUAGAUGAGUGGUCUAGGGUAGAUACAGGGUAGCCAGAAGUCUAGUAUAUAGUAUGGGGGUUGUAGGGUAGGUCUGGACACCGUUUUCCACUUCGCCCUUCCCUUUACUCGAGGGAGGACGAUCUUGGCUGGGACGGCGGUGUAGGGUAGGCUUAAUUAACGAUUACAUGAUCUGUGUCACUCUAGGGUAGGUGAAAAUCCCAUAUAUAUCUGAUCACAUUUGGUGAAGAGGUGGUUUGGCUGGUGAGAUGGACAAAAGUGCAAUGUAGAAUGAUAUGUGAUUUUGCAAAAGUGGGUGUGAAAUUGGAAAGUCGGUUUUCCCGCACAGAUGAGAGCACGUUUGAGGUGCCAUGAGAUGCACCUCUCCGAGACGACCUCAACGGUGCCACCCAUGUGUUGGUCGGGCUCCUGUGCCGCCGUCCAGGGCGGGAUAAGUAGAGAAUGAGGUGGUGUAGGGUAGGUGGCCAGGUCCAGGGUAGGUUCGCCAAAUCCGUCAAUCCGGCUUGAAUGGAAGGACAGGUCUAGGGUAGGCCAGAGUCGGGUCUAGGGUAGGCAACUCUCACCCUCGA
RNAcentral lists this unclassified non-coding RNA (711 nucleotides) under Fusarium oxysporum. Its description in RNAcentral is "partial contains 28S ribosomal RNA, 28S-18S ribosomal RNA intergenic spacer, and 18S ribosomal RNA". Lineage: Eukaryota; Fungi; Ascomycota; Sordariomycetes; Hypocreales; Nectriaceae. The record is from RNAcentral.